Molecule: ribosomal RNA, 484 nt
Filed under: uncultured bacterium
Lineage: Bacteria
Description: partial 16S ribosomal RNA
Rfam family: Bacterial small subunit ribosomal RNA
Source: RNAcentral
AUUGAACGCUGGCGGCAGGCCUAACACAUGCAAGUCGAGCGGAUGAAGGGAGCUUGCUCCUGGAUUCAGCGGCGGACGGGUGAGUAAUGCCUAUGAAUCUGCCUGGUAGUGGGGGAUAACGUCCGGAAACGGGCGCUAAUACCGCAUACGUCCUGAGGGAGAAAGUGGGGGAUCUUCGGACCUCACGCUAUCAGAUGAGCCUAGGUCGGAUUAGCUAGUUGGUGGGGUAAAGGCCUACCAAGGCGACGAUCCGUAACUGGUCUGAGAGGAUGAUCAGUCACACUGGAACUGAGACACGGUCCAGACUCCUACGGGAGGCCGCAGUGGGGAAUAUUGGACAAUGGGCGAAAGCCUGAUCCAGCCAUGCAGCGUGUGUGAAGAAGGUCUUCGGAUUGUAAAGAACUUUAAGUUGGGAGGAAGGGCAGUAAGUUAAUACCUUGCUGUUUUGACGUUACCAACAGAAUAAGCACCGGCUAACUUCGUG